This 336-nucleotide small nuclear RNA is filed under the name Nannospalax galili (Upper Galilee mountains blind mole rat). RNAcentral describes it as "7SK RNA (ENSNGAG00000003046.1)". It matches the Rfam family "7SK RNA". From Rfam's summary of the family: 7SK was discovered as an abundant small nuclear RNA in the mid-70s but a possible function has only recently been suggested. Two independent studies have found that 7SK RNA binds the CDK9/cyclin T complex (known as elongation factor P-TEFb). P-TEFb activates transcription by phosphorylating the C-terminal domain of RNA polymerase II. The record is from RNAcentral. Lineage: Eukaryota; Metazoa; Chordata; Mammalia; Rodentia; Spalacidae.
GGAUAUGAGGAUGUCCUGGAUGUGGCAUCUGUCACCCCAUUGAUCUGCAGUGUUGAAUCUGGAUGGCUAAGAGGGUGUCCCCUUCCCUGCCUCACCAUUCCAUGUGUGUCCCUCCCAAAGCCACACACUCAGUAGAAAAGGAUAACCCUCUUCUAUGGAGGAAGACCGUUCUUUGGUCAUGGUAUAUGAGUAGCUUCACACCUUGCUAGAUUCUCCAGACAAGCUCCUGAAGUCCACUUGUAGGAGAACAUAGGGUACUUAACUUCCAAGACUUCCAACAUAUCUGAAUGAGGUGCUCACAACAAAUAAACAACCAACCAUGGAAGUAUGUUAUUC